GUGAGAAGCGUUUGAAUUCGCGGAAUUUUCUGUUUUAAAAGUUCACAAUUCAGACGAAAGAGCGCAGCCAUAAAUGGAUUUCUUUGUAAAGGAAAGAUUACAACAGUGGAACCUCUGCAAUUUAAUAGAAACAUUUCAAGAGCUUCAGUGUUUACAGUACUGGCCAAUGCAUGCGUGUGAUGCUGACGGAGGAGCCGUUCAAUAAUGAGUCAGCGUUUGGAUGUGAGUACACGGAAGCUCUGAACUGCAUUCACUACGUCAACUGCGUUGGUACUAAUAUGGUGCACUACCUCAAUAAUGAGACAAGCCAGGAUCCACAUGUCUUGGUGCUUGGAGACAAAGAAAAUUCCUCCCAAGUUUUUAUCAUUUUCAUUGGAGAGGCAGUUGAAAAGGAGACCUUACUUCAAGCAGUGAACGUAUGCUUCAAAAUGUUCUACAUCUAUGACAUAAACUACCCAAAGCCCUCUCCUCCAAUUUGGGAGUUCUUGCAGCAUGCAGUCUAUAAUAUUCCUGGAGGAGUUCCUUUUGCACAUUGCUGCCUCCUAAAAAACUUUGUAUUCAAAGUUACUGAUCAUCAGUAGAUCCAGUAGCCAAAACACAAAUUAAAGGGUUAGUUCACACAAAAAUGAAAAUUCUGUCAUUAAUUACUCACCCUCAUGUUGUUCCAAACCCAAGACCUCCGUUCAUCUUUGGAACACAAAUUAAGAUAUUUUUGCAUUCUGACAGCUCUCUGACCCUCCCAUAGACAGCAAGGGUCCUUACACCAUC
Long non-coding RNA from Cyprinus carpio carpio, 768 nucleotides. Lineage: Eukaryota; Metazoa; Chordata; Actinopteri; Cypriniformes; Cyprinidae. The record is from Ensembl.